Non-coding RNA from Acanthosepion pharaonis, 108 nucleotides. The record is from the annotation of a GenBank genome assembly. Lineage: Eukaryota; Metazoa; Mollusca; Cephalopoda; Sepiida; Sepiidae.
CAGCCACAUCACAUUGAAAUACAAGUUUCCAUACAAUCACCAAAGUUAAGCAACAUCAUGCCUGAUCAGUACUUAGAUGGGUGACUACUUGGAAAUACCAGGUGCUGG